Molecule: long non-coding RNA, 1776 nt
Filed under: Marmota monax (woodchuck)
Lineage: Eukaryota; Metazoa; Chordata; Mammalia; Rodentia; Sciuridae
Source: RNAcentral
UUUUUUUAAAGCCAGUUACAGCUUUAGCCUAACGUAUAGUUAAGUGUUAUUAAGAUGUCCAAUUAUAGAAUUACUCCCACUUGCUGACAAUAGAGCUCUGCUUCUUUAAACCUUCUUGUAAAUCACUCAACACAAGCCCCAAUCAUAUAAGUCUUUUUCAGUACCUGCUUACACAGAUACCCGGGUGUUGCUUAUGGUGUAUGUUCUUUUGCAUUUCUCAAUGUGGCAAGUUGUUAAUUCAGCUUAUUUAACUAUAGUGGUCUUUCCCCAGCACCACCCAGAAAACAAAGAUAUUGAACUUUGACCCUUCCAAUUCCCAAAAAUUGAAUUUAAAUGGUUCAUAGACUUUUUAAAACUGUAAAAAAAAAAAAAAAAUUCUAAAAGAAAACAGAAGAACCUAUUUGUGAUCUUGGGUUAGGUAAAGGAAUCAUAGCUAUGACAUAAAAACACAAUGAAUUGAUUAAAAAUUGAAAAAAAAUUCAUAAAUUGGGCUUGAUAAAAAUUAAACACUUUAACUGUUAAGGUAUCAUUAAGAAGACUUAACAGACCAAAGACUGGGAGAAAAUAUUUACAAAACAUUAUUGAUAAUGGAUUUAUAUUUCUGUAGUAUAUGAGAAGAAAUCUUAUAAGUCAAUACUAAGAAAACAACCUCAUUUAAAAAUGGGCAGGAGAUUUGAAUAGAUACAGUCCCAGUGAUAUGUGCUUAUAUGAAUGGCAAAUAGACACACUAAAUUCAAAUUAAAACCAAAUAUACAUACUACUGUCUACUCAGUAGAAUGACUAAAAUCAAAAAGAAUGGAAGUAACAAGCCUUGGUUAAGAUGUGUAGAAAUUGCAACCAUUUCACAUGACUGGAAUUUAAAAUGAUAUAGCCCCUAUACUUUGAGGAACAGUUUAUCUGUUCCUCAAAAUGUUAAACAGUUCAUAUGACCCAGAAAUUCUAUGUAUUUGUAGAAAAAAAUUGAAAACAUGUUCACAUAAAAACCUGUACAUGAGUGUUCAUAGUAGUGUUUCUACAAAUAGCCCCCAAAUGGAAACAACUCAAAUAUCCAGCAACAGGUGAAUAAAGUGUUGUGUUUCCAUUCAAUGGACUAUGACUUUAAUAAUAAAAAACAACAAACUAUUUAAGAUAGAAGCUACAAAGUUAUCUCAGAAAUACUAAGUGGAAGAAGCUAGAUACAAAAGACUACAUGUUCCAUAAGAUCCUUUUGUAUGAAAUUUCCAGAUUAGUCAAAACUAUAGAGAAAAAAGAACAAUUUCCUGUGUUGGGGGUAAGAGUGAGGAGUGACUGCAAAGGAGAAUGGGGGAACUUCUUGGGGUGAUGGAAACAUGAAACAUGAUUGUGGUGAUACUUGAACAACUGUAUGAAUUUACUAAAAGAUAUUGGAACUGUUCACUAAAAUGUGAAUUUUAUGGUAUAUAAAUUAUUUCUCACUUGAGACAACAGCUUAUGAACUUAAAAACAGUGCUCGGAUUUAUUGAAAAAAAUGGGGCUGGGGUUGUGGCCUCACACAUGUGGGACACUGGAUUCUAUUCUCAGCACCAAAUAAAAAUAAAUAAACAAAAUAAAGAUAAAAAAAGAAAGAAAUUCAUGAUUCCACACUGAUGAUAAACCAAAUGAAUGGGAUGAAAGAAGGGCUUAUGAUUAUAAUAGAAUGAUAAGUAAGUGCUGACUUGUAAAAUAAAUGUGCAGGAAGUGGAGGAAUUAAAAAAUUAGCCUUUUGCAGCCAUACAGGAAAAAAAUUGGACCAAUCAAGAACCACUAAUAUAAAUCUCG